AGUAAAAGUCGUAACAAGGUCUCCGUAGGUGAACCUGCGGAGGGAUCAUUACAAGAACGCCCGGGCUUCGGCCUGGUUAUUCAUAACCCUUUGUUGUCCGACUCUGUUGCCUCCGGGGCGACCCUGCCUUCGGGCGGGGGCUCCGGGUGGACACUUCAAACUCUUGCGUAACUUUGCAGUCUGAGUAAACUUAAUUAAUAAAUUAAAACUUUUAACAACGGAUCUCUUGGUUCUGGCAUCGAUGAAGAACGCAGCGAAAUGCGAUAAGUAAUGUGAAUUGCAGAAUUCAGUGAAUCAUCGAAUCUUUGAACGCACAUUGCGCCCCCUGGUAUUCCGGGGGGCAUGCCUGUUCGAGCGUCAUUUCACCACUCAAGCCUCGCUUGGUAUUGGGCAACGCGGUCCGCCGCGUGCCUCAAAUCGUCCGGCUGGGUCUUCUGUCCCCUAAGCGUUGUGGAAACUAUUCGCUAAAGGGUGUUCGGGAGGCUACGCCGUAAAACAACCCCAUUUCUAAGGUUGACCUCGGAUCAGGUAGGGAUACCCGCUGAACUUAAGCAUAUCAAUAAGCGGAGGAAAAGAAACCAACAGGGAUUGCCCCAGUAACG
This 602-nucleotide ribosomal RNA is filed under the name uncultured fungus. Its description in RNAcentral is "eukaryotic LSU rRNA". The stretch from base 207 to 360 matches the Rfam family "5.8S ribosomal RNA". Lineage: Eukaryota; Fungi. The record is from RNAcentral.